AUACCUUUCUUGAUCUUUUGGCUAAGAUCAAGUGCAGAAUCUGUUUUUAUCAGUUUAAUAUUUGAUAUGUGGUUCAAUGAAUCACACGAUAUUAAAUUAUGUUUUUUGAAGGGAAGAAGCCAUCUCAGUAGCUUGCAAAGGCUUCUCAAGUGUCACCUUUGUGCUGUGCACUGUUGCAUGUCGCUUUUGCAUGGGCUGGUGCACCCCAC
Molecule: small nuclear RNA, 209 nt
Filed under: Medicago truncatula (barrel medic)
Lineage: Eukaryota; Viridiplantae; Streptophyta; Magnoliopsida; Fabales; Fabaceae
Description: sRNA gene50144
Rfam family: U2 spliceosomal RNA
About the family: U2 is a small nuclear RNA (snRNA) component of the spliceosome (involved in pre-mRNA splicing). Complementary binding between U2 snRNA (in an area lying towards the 5' end but 3' to hairpin I) and the branchpoint sequence (BPS) of the intron results the bulging out of an unpaired adenosine, on the BPS, which initiates a nucleophilic attack at the intronic 5' splice site, thus starting the first of two transesterification reactions that mediate splicing.
Source: Rfam by way of RNAcentral